This 253-nucleotide ribosomal RNA is filed under the name uncultured bacterium. RNAcentral describes it as "partial 16S ribosomal RNA". It matches the Rfam family "Bacterial small subunit ribosomal RNA", at positions 524 to 776 of the family's 1533-position model. The record is from RNAcentral.
UACGUAGGGGGCAAGCGUUGUCCGGAAUUAUUGGGCGUAAAGCGCGCGCAGGCGGUUCUUUAAGUCUGAUGUGAAAGCCCACGGCUCAACCGUGGAGGGUCAUUGGAAACUGGAGGACUUGAGUGCAGGAGAGGGAAGUGGAAUUCCACGUGUAGCGGUGAAAUGCGUAGAGAUGUGGAGGAACACCAGUGGCGAAGGCGACUUUCUGGCCUGUAACUGACGCUGAGGCGCGAAAGCGUGGGGAGCAAACAGG